This 67-nucleotide transfer RNA is filed under the name Eoscarta assimilis. RNAcentral's name for it is "tRNA-Asn". Lineage: Eukaryota; Metazoa; Arthropoda; Insecta; Hemiptera; Cercopidae. The record is from RNAcentral.
UUAGCUAAAGCCAAAAUAGAGGCAACUUAUUGUUAAUAAAAAAACUGAAUAAUUAAUUCUAGCUAAA